Molecule: long non-coding RNA, 2658 nt
Filed under: Physcomitrium patens
Lineage: Eukaryota; Viridiplantae; Streptophyta; Bryopsida; Funariales; Funariaceae
Description: long non-coding RNA (PPAT_LNC006556)
Source: RNAcentral
UCUUCAAUAUCUCCUACCUUCAUCAAUAUCUCAGUAGUUGUCCUUGUCCAAUGCUUUCAAGUAUAAUGGCUCAAAGUUUCCAUUUCCUUGUCACUAGAAUCUUCGCAAGAUACUCGCUGAUUAUACCCAUUCUUUUCAUUUGUUGGUUGCUUGUAACCAAUAUCAACCUCUUCUUCAUCUCUACAUAUUCUUGCAUCAAUAGCAUGACUCAUUCCAGUUUCGCUCAUUAAUUGCCUCUUUCGCUUAAUGCUGUCAAUGAUAACAUCAUGAAACUCCUUCUUUGCAAUUCCCAAGACUUCUUUCAAUGUGAAUUCCACCUUAGCAUUUAAUAUACGUUCUUCCAACACCCCUUUCAAAUUUGUUGCCGCUUCAAUGUCAGAAAGUAGCUUAUAAGCAAUUGAUUUGCCCUUAUCUUUUGUCUCCAUUGUCUUUUCUCCCAAUGAUACUGAGGUAUCCUUUACAGGCAAUUCUUGUGAAGCUGCCUCCCGAGCCUUGUCUCCUCGAGUUUGCCUCUUAAAAGAAUUUCCUUCUCUAGUAUCAUCAAAAUUUCCUCGUCUUUUUUCUUCCAUCAAAGCUUCAUGUUGGCUCUUAGCAAUAUAUGCAUGAACUGAAAGAGACUCAACAGGAUCCUCCCAACCUGUUCUACCUCGUAUUGUAGCUGCAGUUCUCAAUAACGCUUCUCGAGGUAAUUUCCCUUCUUACAUUGUAGAAAUGGCAGAAGCCCAAAACUCACUAGUUUCCGUACUUCCACCAAUUUCAUCAUCUACUCUAGCACCAUAACUUACACUUUCUCAUGCUACUGUUUCAUGCUCUUUUAAGUAAUCUUGAACCAAUGCUCUCAUUCCUCCCUUGCCAAAAUUGGUUUGAAGAAGAUCCUCUCUAUUUUUCAAUGCUAUCUUCCCAUCUUUCCAGCAAAUAAUUCCCUGUCGUAUCAUAUUAUUAAAUUCAUUGCAAUCUUUUCUAGUGUGUGAAGCAUCAUCACACCAAAUGCAUCUUUGUACAUAUCCUUGUUUUGAAACAUUCUUCGAAUUGUUUAUAGAAGUAUUCUCUUCAAGUCUUGCCAAUUUGAUUUGAAGAUCUCACAUUCCUCGUAUAAUUUCUUCCAUACCCAUAUCUGCUUUCUUUGACAAGGAAGUCGAAGGUUGAACUGUAGGCAUUGUUGGUCGUGUUGUACGUACUGGAGCUUUGGGUGCUUGUACUGUUUUCGGAAUAUUGCUCCUAUCCUUCCUCCUUUCCUUUUUUGUAAGCAACCCCACCGCAUCAUCAACGUUCUUCCACUUCGUUGUCAAUCCUUCAUCUUCUUCUUUGUCUUCAAGAAGGGGUUCUAAUUUCUCUUGCAAUUCUCCAUCAGCAGCUUGAAGAAAUAGAUCAACUUUGUUCGGCUCCAAUGUCAAUUUUUCUACCUUCGAUAAUUGAGAGUACUGCCUCUCAAAUUUCCUUAGUAGCUCUGUUGCUUGCAAAUUCUUAUUGGGCCGUUCAAUCCAUCCCAGAAACAGCUUCUUAGUAACGCGAUCAGCAUCUUCCAAGAAAUAUUCGUCUUUCAAUGCAUGUAGAAAAUCCUCCCAUGAAUUCCCAUAACGAUCCGUAAUCGAUGUAAUGUGGUCCCUUAUCUCCGGUAUCGUGGCAAGUCCAAAUAGUGCAACCAUUUUCUUCUUAGAAACCCGAUUUAAUUCCAUUUCACGAACAUAACAUCUUAAAUACCUUGAAAUAUUCCUCCCAUCAAAUUGAUCAAUUUUAUUGACCACUGCUUGCAAUGCUUUGGUUGCCAAAGCUUCCUUUCGAUCAUUGCUUUGCUGUUGCUGCAUUGACAAUGAGAAGGCUUGAAACAAACUAGCAAUAGACGGAUCCAUGUGCAUACCUUGUCCUUUAGAAGACUCCCCACCAGAAACUCCUCCCAAAAAUCCUUCAAAAUUUUUAUUUUCGUUUUUCAUAAAAAUAAAGAUAAAAUCAAUCGAAAUCCAAUACCUUCCACCUCAAGCUUUCACGUCGGGUUCACCACUUUUUGUCGUAUUACGUGCUUUUCUGCUCGAGAACGCGCUGGACGUCUGGCUGUAGAAGAUAGUAUGGAGAUUCGUUGGUAGUCAAGCAGUCUAUCAGUUUUUGACUGCUAGAAUAUAAACGACUGCAUCAAUGUACCGUAAAUCUAUACGGAUGCUCUUCGACUGCUUGUCGAAGUCCUUUUUGUCCCAGCCAGUAGGUCUCUAGACGUUACAGAGAACCCCGAACAACCCAAACUGUUAAUCUUCAAUACCGCUUUGUACUUACGAUCUUGUAUCCACUGACUGUCUUGUUAGAUUAAUCCGAUAAAUUUCAUUCACUCCGCAUACUCAAUCCUAUAGACACCCUUUUAAUCCUUCAAUCACAGACGUAACUCGAUUUCACAAAACAGUCAAGAGUAUUCAAACCCACUUCAUUGAAAAUCCCGAUUCACCAUUACAAUACUGACUUCAGCAGCAAUUGCCUCAGUCUUCCCAAAACUCUACGAAGAAAAAAAUCCAAAUUCUAUAUCUUUCCUUCCCCGACCCGAAGCAUGAAGCUCCUCUCUCUAAUCCCCUUGAUCUCCAAAAAUCCUCCAAUGAAAACCGAACUAGUAACCUUGCAAAAGCUUUCUGCCGCUCCCCCGAUUCCCCUUCAAACUUAUUCUCCCCCUAACCUUAU